This is a long non-coding RNA of Cygnus olor (mute swan), 1456 nucleotides long. RefSeq lists it as uncharacterized. The transcript has 3 exons. Lineage: Eukaryota; Metazoa; Chordata; Aves; Anseriformes; Anatidae. The record is from RefSeq and is a predicted model, not a curated record.
AUGUCUCCAUAUUAUAGUGCUCUGCAUUAUGAAGAGAACCUGUUGCUUACAAGUGUGAACCCUGCUUUCCUGGGAGUCGCCGGACACCUGCCUGCCGAUGGGAGCAGCAAAUAGGUUCCUGGUUCUGCUUUGCUCCUGCACAUGUCUUUUGCUUUACCUAGUGAAAUGUCUUUAUCUCAACCCAUGUGUUCUUGCACUUUUACCUCCCUGAUUCUCUCCCCAGUCCCACCUGGGGGGAAUGAGCGAGCAGCUGGGUGGCGCUGAGCUACCUGUUGGGACUUAGCCACUGCAAAGUGUUAUGAGGCUUACUUGCUUAUUUUGCUUUAACUGGAGUGAAUAAGGAUAAAUCAUCUGUAUCUUUUUACCUAUGACAACUGAUAGUUUCUCCAUGCCAUUUUCCACAGCUCUGUGCUGGUAGUGCAGUGGAGAUCCACUGGUGUCCGAUCUCUGAAUGGGACCCUGCCACCAAACAUGUCCUAAUUCACCAGAGCAUCUAGUGUUGCCAGAAAAGAGGUGCACAGGUGCCCCAGGUGAAAUUCUGGAUGAAGUGAAGCCUUCUCAUGAUGAGUCAUCAUGUUACACAAUGUAAAAAUCUUGCAUUUGUCACAAAACUUCAGCAAGUACAAAGGGUCUGGAUCCAUAGUCAUUAGAAGUCUACGGGUGUCCCAUCCCGGCACAGGGCCAGGGACUCCACCAUAGACUGCGGUGGGACUAAUGGGGCUUUUGUUCUGUGCUCACUCCUGGGCAAGUCACAGGUCUCAGCAAAGAGACUUCUUUCUUUCUCAGCUGUGAAUAAGAAAACUGGAAUCUGAAUGGCAGACAAUGGUGGAAGACAAGGAUUAUAAUUUACUAGAGGCUAAUUGCUCGAGGCUAACUGAGGCCCAGUUCUCACAGCAUCUCAGGAGGCAAUUUCUAUUCCUGGAGGUACAAAGCACUCAAUCUUCACUUCCUUCUCCUAUCAGCAGAGACAAGAGAACUUCAUAUUCGUUGUCUUUGGUGUGACACCACUAUUUAAUCUCUGUACCAUUAGCCAAGAACAGACAUGAAUACCUGUAUAUGUAAUGUUCAAAAUAAAAUGAAGUUUUAUUUGUUCAUUUUUCAAUUCACUUGAAGACAGAAUUUAAAUGCUAAGUAGACACCUAAUAGCACAUAAAUAACAUUAUUUUAUGUUCUAGAUAUUGCAUUUAACUGGAGUGCACAUCAUUAAAGAAGUUAAUACAAAAUGGAUGUUUAGCCACAUAAUAGUAAAUUGGUCACAUGCUCCAUUGUCUGAGAAAACAACUGAAUAAAAUUAUUCAAAUAUUUCAAAGAUAAUUAUGAAUGGGCUAUUAUUGAGAAUGUUGUCAUGCUAUAGAAAUUGUAAUGGUAUAGUGUGCUUAAAUCACUUUAACUUACAUCUCUAAUAAUUAGAAAUUGUAUUGGUCAUAAACUAAAGUCAUUUUUGACAUACAAAGGA